RNAcentral lists this ribosomal RNA (484 nucleotides) under uncultured bacterium. RNAcentral's name for it is "partial 16S ribosomal RNA". It matches the Rfam family "Bacterial small subunit ribosomal RNA", at positions 30 to 507 of the family's 1533-position model. The record is from RNAcentral.
AUUGGACGCUGGCGGCAGGCCUAACACAUGCAAGUCGAGCGGAUGAAGGGAGCUUGCUCCUGGAUUCAGCGGCGGACGGGUGAGUAAUGCCUAGGAAUCUGCCUGGUAGUGGGGGAUAACGUCCGGAAACGGGCGCUAAUACCGCAUACGUCCUGAGGGAGAAAGUGGGGGAUCUUCGGACCUCACGCUAUCAGAUGAGCCUAGGUCGGAUUAGCUAGUUGGUGGGGUAAAGGCCUACCAAGGCGACGAUCCGUAACUGGUCUGAGAGGAUGAUCAGUCACACUGGAACUGAGACACGGUCCAGACUCCUACGGGAGGCAGCAGUGGGGAAUUUUGGACAAUGGGCGCAAGCCUGAUCCAGCCAUGCCGCGUGUGUGAAGAAGGUCUUCGGGUUGUAAAGCACUUUAAGUUGGGAGGAAGGGCAGUAAGUUAAUACCUUGCUGUUUUGACGUUACCAUCAGAAUAAGCACCGGCUAACUUCGUG